CCUGCCUACACAGGGAGGAACAAGCUUCAGAGCAGAGGGCUAGACAUGCAGGGAGGGAUUUUAAUCCCGCAAAGGAAUACAGCAGAGCUGUACAAAAGCUGAUACGGCGAGAGCUCCUGGGUUGGCGUGUAUGUCUGUCUUCAGAAGAGGAAGAUAAAGAAAAUGGUGAGAAACACUUGGAAUCCUGCUUUUUCCCUUGAAGUGCCUUGAAUUUUUCCCUUGAUUUUUUUUUUCUGUGCUGAAAUUUGUCAGCAUUAAAACAGAGGGAAGAUUUUUUUUUUUCCAGAGGAAUCCAGCACAAACUGAGAAAUCCCAC
RNAcentral lists this long non-coding RNA (316 nucleotides) under Calidris pugnax (ruff). RNAcentral's name for it is "lncRNA (ENSCPUG00000011175.1)". The record is from RNAcentral. Lineage: Eukaryota; Metazoa; Chordata; Aves; Charadriiformes; Scolopacidae.